Molecule: ribosomal RNA, 484 nt
Filed under: uncultured bacterium
Lineage: Bacteria
Description: partial 16S ribosomal RNA
Rfam family: Bacterial small subunit ribosomal RNA
Source: RNAcentral
AUUGAACGAGGGAGGAAGGAGGUACACAUGCAAGUCGAACGGCAGCGCGUGUGUCGGCCUGGCGGCGAGUGGCGAACUGGUGAGUAAUACAUCGGUACGUGCCCAGUAGUGGGUGAUAGCCUGGCUAAAGCCGGAUUAAUACCGCAUACGACCUGAUGUGGUAAGCGGGAGAUCUUCGGACCUCGCGUGAGUUUGUUUGCGGAUGGCUGUUUUUCUAGUUGGUGGGGUAAAGUUCUACCAAGGCGACGAUCUGUAGCUGGUCUGAGAGGACACCCAGCCACACUGGGACUGAGACACGUCCCAGACUCCUACGGGAGCACGCAGUGGGCACAUUUGGACAAUGGGCGAAAGCCUGAUCCAGCAAUGCCGCGUGUGAGAUGAAGGAAUUCGGGUUGUAAAUCCCUGUUGGCUCGAACGACAAAAAAUGUGCCAAUACCACGGUUCGAUGACGGUACCCGCAGUAUAAGACCCUUCUCCUUACGUU